UACAGAGGGGGCAAGCGUUGUUCGGAAUUACUGGGCGUAAAGGGCGCGUAGGCGGCCCGCUAAGUCGAACGUGAAAUCCCCGAGCUCAACUCGGGAACUGCGUCCGAUACUGGUGGGCUUGAAUCCGGGAGAGGGAUGCGGAAUUCCAGGUGUAGCGGUGAAAUGCGUAGAUAUCUGGAGGAACACCGGUGGCGAAGGCGGCAUCCUGGACCAACACUGACGCUGAUGAGCGAAAGCCAGGGGAGCAAACGGG
This 253-nucleotide ribosomal RNA is filed under the name uncultured bacterium. RNAcentral describes it as "partial 16S ribosomal RNA". It matches the Rfam family "Bacterial small subunit ribosomal RNA", at positions 524 to 776 of the family's 1533-position model. The record is from RNAcentral.